This 164-nucleotide ribosomal RNA is filed under the name uncultured bacterium. Its description in RNAcentral is "partial 16S rRNA". It matches the Rfam family "Bacterial small subunit ribosomal RNA", at positions 355 to 511 of the family's 1533-position model. The record is from RNAcentral.
UAGGGAAUCUUCCACAAUGGGCGCAAGCCUGAUGGAGCAACACCGCGUGAGUGAAGAAGGGUUUCGGCUCGUAAAGCUCUGUUGUUAAAGAAGAACACGUAUGAGAGUAACUGUUCAUACGUUGACGGUAUUUAACCAGAAAGUCACGGCUAAAUACGUGCCAC